CUGAUCCUCCCGUGCGUUUGUUAUAGUCUUCUGCAAAGAAGGCUGCGCAGACACUCUCUUACGCCACACCCAAAACACACACACACACACACACAAACGGACGUGCAGUUACGUUCACACACACGUGCUGAAGGACCCGAGAAAGGAUUGCAUCCCCACACCCCUCUCUCUUUCUCCCCGCUUUCAUGACACCUCUUCACUCCUUUGAGUACGCCUUCAUGGCGGGCGCGUCUUUCUCGCCCGAGGAGCGCGUCCAGCUGACCAACUCCCUCCCUCUUCUUAGUGUGCAGACGAAGCGCAAGGACCUGGUUCUCUGGGGCAAGAUAUUUGGAUACAAGGCAGACUACAUUAUCGUGGAAGCCUUCGAUGACGACGCGGUGGUGGAACCGGAACUGUACUAUACUCUCGACGAGGGCCGCACCUUCAGCCUGCUCGGCACCUUCUCCUCUGUAUUCUCCGUGUGCCCAGGCUACAGCAGCUGCAGCGGGCUGCGACAAGCGGAGUGGAAGCAGUUCAUGCUGCUCGGUAUGCGUGGCCCCUUCAUCGGGGACCCUGCGUACGAAUACCGCGUGAGCAACCACAGCAGCAGUGAUGGUGCACCGGAGAUUCUGAGCGUGAAAGAGUCGGUGCGCCUGGCCCUCUUCGUCGAGGAGUUUGACCACGAGUGCCGGGUUGUGCCACGUGGGGCGUACAUGAAGGCAGAGCGUCAGGCGACGGCGACGAUCGCGUCCACUACCGGAGCUGAGGUUGACGCGGGUGAGCGGGCUGAGGUUCGCCGCAACACUGCGUUUGGCGGACUUCCGCGAACGGCGGAGGGAGCGCUGUCGCUGCGGAACUACUAUCACCUGCGUGCCGUGAACCCGUACCGCCGCCUGCUAUUGCGCAAGCAGAACUCCCUCUUCACCAAGUCCGCGCUGGAGCAGCUCAGUGAGCACCCCCUCCUCGAUGCCGCCUUCGAGUCCUUGGCGGAGGACGUGCCGUCGGGGACGUGGCACCUGCGCUACGAUGCGUUUCACAAUGUCGUGAUGGGCCGCAACAUCCGCUUCAGCGGCUCCCUCUUCUACCACGUGCCCGAAACGUGUGUUUACGGUACUGUUUACAUGGGUGACGGCAACAUGAACAUCAAUGCCGCCUUCGAGAUGUAGAGCCGAGACUUAACAGGGUGGUGCUGGCAGCCGUAACGCGCGGCCGUUUUUUUUUUCUUUUUCAAAUCAUGUGUUUUGGUUUUCGCGUGUUGCGUGUGUCUCGAAGGGUGUGCGCACGGACUUCUGGGCUGGGUGGCCCUGUCACGGUCCGUCCUUUCUCACAGCCACACAAGCACGGAUGUACUAGUAGUGAGGUGGUUAUGCACAUAGGUGGCCGCGCGGGGCCCGCGCAUAGGACCCUCUCUCUGUCCUUCUUGUCUUUGUCGUUCGUCUCUUCGGAGGCGAAGCGAGGCUGCGAAGAGCGGGGUAUCCGUGGACGCAGUGUGGGGGUACGUUUGCGGCUGCUGCGCGCGGUGACACGCGCCUCUGUGUCUCUGAGGCAAUGCGCAGCUUCUCCUCCGGCCUUCGCCUUUUUCCUGCCUUGACUGUUCUUCGUUCAGUCAGAGUAGACGUUCUGUCUUGGUGCACCGCGGGCUUCG
RNAcentral lists this unclassified non-coding RNA (1624 nucleotides) under Leishmania donovani. Its description in RNAcentral is "gene:LdHU3.33.3750(CDS-product:Radial_spokehead-l ike_protein_putative)". The record is from RNAcentral. Lineage: Eukaryota; Euglenozoa; Kinetoplastea; Trypanosomatida; Trypanosomatidae.